Molecule: ribosomal RNA, 485 nt
Filed under: uncultured bacterium
Lineage: Bacteria
Description: bacterial SSU rRNA
Rfam family: Bacterial small subunit ribosomal RNA
Source: RNAcentral
AGAGUUUGAUCAUGGCUCAGAGUGAACGCUGGCGGCGUGCUUAACACAUGCAAGUCGAACGAGAACGGGCCUAGCUUGCUAGGCUGUCAGCUAAGUGGCGGACGGGUGAGUAAUGUAUAGUUAAUCUGCCCUUUAGAGAGGAAUAACUACUGGAAACGGUAGCUAAUACCUCAUACUCCUUUUACCUUAAUGGUAAUUGGGAAAUGUUUUUUCGCUAAAGGAUGAGACUAUAUGGUAUCAGGUAGUUGGUGGGGUAAGAGCCUACCAAGCCAAUGACGCCUAGCUGGUCUGAGAGGAUGAUCAGCCACACUGGAACUGAGACACGGUCCAGACUCCUACGGGAGGCAGCAGUGGGGAAUAUUGCACAAUGGAGGAAACUCUGAUGCAGCAACGCCGCGUGGAGGAUGACGCAUUUCGGUGUGUAAACUCCUUUUAUAUGGGAAGAUAAUGACGGUACCAUAUGAAUAAGCACCGGCUAACUCCGU